Molecule: ribosomal RNA, 425 nt
Filed under: uncultured bacterium
Lineage: Bacteria
Description: bacterial SSU rRNA
Rfam family: Bacterial small subunit ribosomal RNA
Source: RNAcentral
GUGGGGAAUCUUGCGCAAUGGGCGAAAGCCUGACGCAGCCAUGCCGCGUGAAUGAUGAAGGUCUUAGGAUUGUAAAAUUCUUUCACCGGGGACGAUAAUGACGGUACCCGGAGAAGAAGCCCCGGCUAACUUCGUGCCAGCAGCCGCGGUAAUACGAAGGGGGCUAGCGUUGCUCGGUAUUACUGGGCGUAAAGGGCGCGUAGGCGGACAGUUUAGUCAGAGGUGAAAGCCCAGGGCUCAACCUUGGAAUUGCCUUUGAUACUGGCUGUCUUGAGUACGGGAGAGGUGAGUGGAACUCCGAGUGUAGAGGUGAAAUUCGUAGAUAUUCGGAAGAACACCAGUGGCGAAGGCGACUCACUGGCCCGUUACUGACGCUGAGGCGCGAAAGCGUGGGGAGCAAACAGGAUUAGAUACCCGUGUAGUCC